RNAcentral lists this ribosomal RNA (1302 nucleotides) under uncultured Massilia sp. Its description in RNAcentral is "bacterial SSU rRNA". It matches the Rfam family "Bacterial small subunit ribosomal RNA", at positions 94 to 1399 of the family's 1533-position model. The record is from RNAcentral. Lineage: Bacteria; Pseudomonadati; Pseudomonadota; Betaproteobacteria; Burkholderiales; Oxalobacteraceae.
AGUGGCGAACGGGUGAGUAAUAUAUCGGAACGUACCCAGAAGUGGGGGAUAACGUAGCGAAAGUUACGCUAAUACCGCAUACGAUCUACGGAUGAAAGCAGGGGAUCGCAAGACCUUGUGCUUUUGGAGCGGCCGAUAUCUGAUUAGCUAGUUGGUGAGGUAAAGGCUCACCAAGGCGACGAUCAGUAGCUGGUCUGAGAGGACGACCAGCCACACUGGAACUGAGACACGGUCCAGACUCCUACGGGAGGCAGCAGUGGGGAAUUUUGGACAAUGGGGGCAACCCUGAUCCAGCAAUGCCGCGUGAGUGAAGAAGGCCUUCGGGUUGUAAAGCUCUUUUGUCAGGGAAGAAACGGGAGUGGCUAAUAUCCAUUCCUAAUGACGGUACCUGAAGAAUAAGCACCGGCUAACUACGUGCCAGCAGCCGCGGUAAUACGUAGGGUGCAAGCGUUAAUCGGAAUUACUGGGCGUAAAGCGUGCGCAGGCGGUUUUGUAAGUCUGACGUGAAAUCCCCGGGCUUAACCUGGGAAUUGCGUUGGAGACUGCAAGGCUGGAGUCUGGCAGAGGGGGGUAGAAUUCCACGUGUAGCAGUGAAAUGCGUAGAGAUGUGGAGGAACACCGAUGGCGAAGGCAGCCCCCUGGGUCAAGACUGACGCUCAUGCACGAAAGCGUGGGGAGCAAACAGGAUUAGAUACCCUGGUAGUCCACGCCCUAAACGAUGUCUACUAGUUGUCGGGUUUUAAUUAACUUGGUAACGCAGCUAACGCGUGAAGUAGACCGCCUGGGGAGUACGGUCGCAAGAUUAAAACUCAAAGGAAUUGACGGGGACCCGCACAAGCGGUGGAUGAUGUGGAUUAAUUCGAUGCAACGCGAAAAACCUUACCUACCCUUGACAUGUCAGGAAUCCUGGAGAAAUCUGGGAGUGCCCGAAAGGGAGCCUGAACACAGGUGCUGCAUGGCUGUCGUCAGCUCGUGUCGUGAGAUGUUGGGUUAAGUCCCGCAACGAGCGCAACCCUUGUCAUUAGUUGCUACGAAAGGGCACUCUAAUGAGACUGCCGGUGACAAACCGAGGAAGGUGGGGAUGACGUCAAGUCCUCAUGGCCCUUAUGGGUAGGGCUUCACACGUCAUACAAUGGUACAUACAGAGGGCCGCCAACCCGCGAGGGGGAGCUAAUCCCAGAAAGUGUAUCGUAGUCCGGAUCGUAGUCUGCAACUCGACUACGUGAAGUUGGAAUCGCUAGUAAUCGCGGAUCAGCAUGUCGCGGUGAAUACGUUCCCGGGUCUUGUACACACCGCCCGUCA